Molecule: long non-coding RNA, 600 nt
Organism: Lycium ferocissimum
Lineage: Eukaryota; Viridiplantae; Streptophyta; Magnoliopsida; Solanales; Solanaceae
Exons: 3
Source: RefSeq, a predicted model, not a curated record
GAAACCCUUCUCUUUCCAUUUCUCUCUCUUUCCCUCUUAACGUUUUUGAGGUCUCUCUCUCUCUAAACCUAAUACAACGUCGACGUUACCAACAGUGCAGGGAGGAGUCACCGACGUCGUCCACACCCAGAACCACUGCUGCCGUCGCCAGUUAUCAUCAACAUUUGAGGUUCUUGACCAGUUAUUGUAACUGCAGCAGAUGAUGCACCUGAUGCAACUAAAGGCAGUUGCUUUCCCUCUGUCACAUUUAAUUGUUUUGCAAUCUCCAUCACUGCCACUGUUGAUGCAACCAGCUGUUUGUUUGCAGCAACAUCACCAACCUCAACAACUUUUUCAUGCUCACCCUCUCCAUCCUCUAAAGCUGCAACAACCAGUUCUUUCCCAUCAUUAGCAUCAGUUGGUUUUUCUUUUGUCGCUGCUAGUUGUUGCUGAUUUGCACCUUCUGCUACAACUGGUAUAUUUUUACCCUUGUUAUUUUUCCAUUUGUAGACAAUCCAAGGUGGAUGAUGUAUAUGAUUUAUGAUUUGGUGUGCCACAUAUUCUGGGAGUUAUUUGCUUUGAUUUCAAUCUUACACUUCUUGAAGACUGUGAAUUUGUUUC